Molecule: ribosomal RNA, 617 nt
Filed under: uncultured bacterium
Lineage: Bacteria
Description: bacterial SSU rRNA
Rfam family: Bacterial small subunit ribosomal RNA
Source: RNAcentral
GUCGAACGGGGCACCCCUGAAGGAGUUUUCGGACAACGGAUGGGACUGCUUAGUGGCGGACUGGUGAGUAACGCAUGAGGAACCUGCCUUUCGGAGGGGGACAACAGUUGGAAACGAACGCUAAUACCGCAUGAUAUUAAAGGGCUGCAUGGCCUGAUAAUCAAAGGAGCAAUCCGCUGAAAGAUGGGCUCGCGUCCGAUUAGGUAGUUGGUGAGGUAACGGCCCACCAAGCCGACGAUCGGUAGCCGGACUGAGAGGUUGAACGGCCACAUUGGGACUGAGACACGGCCCAGACUCCUACGGGAGGCAGCAGUGAGGGAUAUUGGUCAAUGGGGGAAACCCUGAACCAGCAACGCCGCGUGAGGGAAGACGGUUUUCGGAUUGUAAACCUCUGUCCUCUGUGAAGAUGAUGACGGUAGCAGAGGAGGAAGCUCCGGCUAACUACGUGCCAGCAGCCGCGGUAAUACGUAGGGAGCAAGCGUUGUCCGGAUUUACUGGGUGUAAAGGGUGCGUAGGCGGCUUAGCAAGUCAGAAGUGAAAUCCAUGGGCUUAACCCAUGAACUGCUUUUGAAACUGUUGAGCUUGAGUGGAGUAGAGGUAGGCGGAAUUCCCGGUGU